AACUACCAAACAUAAAUAACAAGUUCCCUUGCUUCAAGUUAUUAGCUUGUGAAAAUAACAGACCGUCAACUGAGAAGACCACAGUCCUCAUUAGUGAAGACAACAAUCCUGCCUACGGAGACAACCGCUGAUUUGUUCAGUAAAAAUUCAUCAAGAAGACACUGCUCUCAUAACUACAAAUCCCCCUUUACCAAAAUGGACAUCCUGGUAAGAAUUAUUUUUUUUUAGAAAUGUAU
This 236-nucleotide unclassified non-coding RNA is filed under the name Hevea brasiliensis (rubber tree). Lineage: Eukaryota; Viridiplantae; Streptophyta; Magnoliopsida; Malpighiales; Euphorbiaceae. The record is from RNAcentral.